This 69-nucleotide transfer RNA is filed under the name Felis catus (domestic cat). It matches the Rfam family "tRNA". Rfam says of the family: Transfer RNA (tRNA) molecules are approximately 80 nucleotides in length. Their secondary structure includes four short double-helical elements and three loops (D, anti-codon, and T loops). Lineage: Eukaryota; Metazoa; Chordata; Mammalia; Carnivora; Felidae. The record is from Rfam by way of RNAcentral.
ACCUGGCUGGCUCAGUAGAGCAUGUGACUCGUGAUCUCAGGGUCAUGAGUUCAAGCCCCACGUCGGGCG